Molecule: unclassified non-coding RNA, 208 nt
Filed under: Hevea brasiliensis (rubber tree)
Lineage: Eukaryota; Viridiplantae; Streptophyta; Magnoliopsida; Malpighiales; Euphorbiaceae
Source: RNAcentral
GUUCAAUUGGUGCAAGGCUAAUUGAACAUGAAGUUAGACACAUAAUUGCACAAUUUUGAUGAAGGAACCCCAUUCAGAAAACAAACUUAGGAUGCCCUAAAAAUUGACCAAAUCUGGGUAACACACUGUCUACCUGGGCAAAAUAACCAAAUGAACAGUAUUCAUUCAUUUGGUCAUAACUUAAUGUAGAAAGGUCCAAUUGACCUAA